RNAcentral lists this ribosomal RNA (615 nucleotides) under Eupholus geoffroyi. RNAcentral's name for it is "SSU rRNA". It matches the Rfam family "Eukaryotic small subunit ribosomal RNA", at positions 14 to 610 of the family's 1831-position model. Lineage: Eukaryota; Metazoa; Arthropoda; Insecta; Coleoptera; Curculionidae. The record is from RNAcentral.
CUGCCAGUAGUCAUAUGCUUGUCUCAAAGAUUAAGCCAUGCAUGUCUCAGUACAAGCCAAAUUAAGGUAAACCGCGAAAGGCUCAUUAAUCAGUUAUGGUUCCUUAGAUCGUACCCACAAUUACUUGGAUAACUGUGGUAAUUCUAGAGCUAAUACAUGCAAACAGAGCUCCGACCGGAGACGGAAGGAGUGCUUUUCUUAGAUCAAAACCAAUCGGUGGCGAGUUCGCUCGUCAUCGUACAACUUGGUGACUCUGAAUAACUUUACGCUGAUCGCACGGUCUCGCACCGGCGACGCAUCUUUCAAAUGUCUGCCUUAUCAACUGUCGAUGGUAGGUUCUGCGCCUACCAUGGUUGUAACGGGUAACGGGGAAUCAGGGUUCGAUUCCGGAGAGGGAGCCUGAGAAACGGCUACCACAUCCAAGGAAGGCAGCAGGCGCGCAAAUUACCCACUCCCGGCACGGGGAGGUAGUGACGAAAAAUAACGAUACGGGACUCAUCCGAGGCCCCGUAAUCGGAAUGAGUACACUCUAAACCCUUUAACGAGGAUCAAUUGGAGGGCAAGUCUGGUGCCAGCAGCCGCGGUAAUUCCAGCUCCAAUAGCGUAUAUUAAAGU